AACGAACGCUGGCGGCAGGCUUUAUACAUGCAAGUCGCACGAUUAAGACCCCUUCGGGGGUGAAUAGAGUGGCGAACGGGUGAGUAACAGGUGGAUAAUUUGCCUCCCGGUGGGGGACAACGGCUGGAAACGGCCGCUAAUACCGCAUUCGGUUGCGGGGUCUUAGGGCUCUGCAAAGAAAGGCGCCUCAAAGCGCUGCCGGGAGAAAAGUCCGCCCCCCAUUAGCUAGUUGGUGAGAUAACAGCCCACCAAGGCAACGAUGGGUAGCCGAGCUGAGAGGUUGAUCGGCCACACUGGAACUGAGACACGGUCCAGACACCUACGGGUGGCUG
Molecule: ribosomal RNA, 332 nt
Filed under: uncultured Candidatus Sumerlaeota bacterium
Lineage: Bacteria; Candidatus Sumerlaeota
Description: bacterial SSU rRNA
Rfam family: Bacterial small subunit ribosomal RNA
Source: RNAcentral